GACCCCAGGGGAGGUUGGCCAUGCAGACACUGAACAUGCCAAGGCUUGCAUGCUGUGUGCCCAAAGGAUCGUGGGAGGGUCUGCAUUUCUCUCAAAACUUCCAGGGGAGGUGGAGGCUGCGAGUCUUGGGACCCUACUUUGAGAAGCGAAAACUUAAGAGUAUCCUCGUGGUUAGCAAAACUAAAAAUGAAGAGGCUGCACUGUUGCUAAGUAUCCCAGUUUGUCUCCUUUCGAAGUAGUCUCCUGGGGACGCCUAGCACUCACUUCCGUGAUACCAUCCCAACGCCAGCUCCCGGGUAUUCAUUCCAGCAGCUCGUCUUUUGGUGUAAUUUCCAGAAAGAUGAAAAUGAGUCUCUUGUCACAGCAGGCGUCUGCUCUGCAUCGAAGUCACCCAACCUGCCCAGCGCCUUGUUAAUGUCGUUAAUCACGGAAAAGACAAACAAUAAAACCCCCAGACACGUGA
Non-coding RNA from Peromyscus maniculatus bairdii (prairie deer mouse), 463 nucleotides. NCBI's taxonomy places the organism in Eukaryota, Metazoa, Chordata, Mammalia, Rodentia, Cricetidae. The record is from RefSeq and is a predicted model, not a curated record.